GACGAACGCUGGCGGCGUGCCUAACACAUGCAAGUCGAACGGGGAGUUAGCAAUAACUCCUAGUGGCGAGCGGGUGAGUAACGCGUAGACAACCUGCCUCUAAACUGGGGACAACACCGCGAAAGUGGUGCUAAUACCGAAUGUGGUAACUUGAUCGCAUGAUCGAGUUAAGAAAGAUGGCCUCUAUUUAUAAGCUAUCGUUUAGAGAUGGGUCUGCGUCUGAUUAGCUAGUUGGUGAGGUAAUGGCUCACCAAGGCGACGAUCAGUAGCCGGUCUGAGAGGAUGAACGGCCACACUGGGACUGAGACACGGCCCAGACUCCUACUGGAGGCAGCAGUGGGGAAUCUUCCGCAAUGGACGAAAGUCUGACGGAGCAACGCCGCGUGAGUGAAGAAGGUCUUCGGAUUGUAAAGCUCUGUCGUUUGGGACGAACGUGGGUAGUGUGAAUAAUGCUAUCUAAUGACGGUACCAAAGGAGGAAGCCACGGCUAACUACGUGCCAGCAGCCGCAGUAA
Molecule: ribosomal RNA, 514 nt
Filed under: uncultured bacterium
Lineage: Bacteria
Description: partial 16S ribosomal RNA
Rfam family: Bacterial small subunit ribosomal RNA
Source: RNAcentral